CCUACGGGUGGCAGCAGUGGGGAAUAUUGCUCAAUGGGGGAAACCCUGAAGCAGCAACGCCGCGUGGAGGAUGACGGUUUUCGGAUUGUAAACCCCUUUCGUUAGGGAAGAUAAUGACGGUAUCUAACGAAUAAGCCCCGGCUAACUACGUGCCAGCAGCCGCGGUAAUACGGAGGGUGCAAGCGUUAUUCGGAAUCACUGGGGGUAAAGGGCGCGUAGGCGGGAGAGCAAGUCAGAUGUGAAAUCCUAUGGCUUAACCAUAGAACUGCAUUUGAAACUGUUAUUCUAGAGUACGGGAGAGGUAGGUGGAAUUCGUGGUGUAGGGGUGAAAUCCGUAGAUAUCAAGAGGAAGACUCAUUGCGAAGGCGGCCUGCUGGAACGUAACUGACGCUGAUGCUCGAAAGCGUGGGGAGCAAACAGGAUUAGAUACCCUAGUAGUC
RNAcentral lists this ribosomal RNA (440 nucleotides) under uncultured bacterium. RNAcentral describes it as "partial 16S ribosomal RNA". It matches the Rfam family "Bacterial small subunit ribosomal RNA", at positions 338 to 795 of the family's 1533-position model. The record is from RNAcentral.